This 440-nucleotide ribosomal RNA is filed under the name uncultured bacterium. Its description in RNAcentral is "partial 16S ribosomal RNA". It matches the Rfam family "Bacterial small subunit ribosomal RNA", at positions 338 to 795 of the family's 1533-position model. The record is from RNAcentral.
CCUACGGGUGGCAGCAGUGGGGAAUAUUGCACAAUGGGGGAAACCCUGAUGCAGCGACGCCGCGUGAGUGAAGAAGUAUCUCGGUACGUAAAGCUCUAUCAGCAGGGAAGAAAAUGACGGUACCUGACUAAGAAGCCCCGGCUAACUACGUGCCAGCAGCCGCGGUACUACGUAGGGGGCGAGCGUUAUCCGGAUUCACUGGGUGUAAAGGGAGCGUAGCCGGCCAUGCAAGCCAGGGGUGAAAGCCCGGGGGCCAACCCCGGGACUGCCCUUGGAACUGCAUGGCGGGAGUGCGGGAGGGGCAGGCGGAAUUCCUGGUGUAGCGGUGAAAUGCGUAGAUAUCAGGAGGAACACCGGCGGCGAAGGCGGCCUGCUGAACCGCGACUGACGUUGAGGCUCGAAAGCGUGGGGAGCGAACAGGAUUAGAUACCCGAGUAGUC